RNAcentral lists this ribosomal RNA (447 nucleotides) under uncultured bacterium. RNAcentral's name for it is "SSU rRNA". It matches the Rfam family "Bacterial small subunit ribosomal RNA", at positions 26 to 518 of the family's 1533-position model. The record is from RNAcentral.
AGAACGAACGCUGGCGGCAGGCUUAACACAUGCAAGUCGAACGCCUAUAGCAAUAUAGGAGUGGCGCACGGGUGAGUAACGCGUGGGAACGUGCCUUUCAGUCUGGAAUAACAGCGGGAAACUGCUGCUAAUACCGGAUAUUCUCUACGGAGGAAAGAUUUAUCGCUGAAAGAUCGGCCCGCGUAAGAUUAGGUAGUUGGUGGGGUAAUGGCCUACCAAGCCUACGAUCUUUAGCUGGUCUGAGAGGAUGAUCAGCCACACUGGAACUGAGACACGGUCCAGACUCCUACGGGAGGCAGCAGUGGGAAAUAUUGGACAAUGGGGGAAACCCUGAUCCAGCCAUGCCGCGUGAGUGAUGAAGGCCUUAGGGUUGUAAAGCUCUUUGUCAGGGAAGAUGAUGACGGUACCUGAAGAAUAAGCACCGGCUAACUUCGUGCCAGCAGCCGC